Molecule: long non-coding RNA, 1455 nt
Filed under: Equus asinus (donkey)
Lineage: Eukaryota; Metazoa; Chordata; Mammalia; Perissodactyla; Equidae
Description: lncRNA (ENSEASG00005034342.1)
Source: RNAcentral
AUUUAAUCUGUGAUGCAUCUUCUCCAAAUGAAGGGGUUCAAGUUUUUCUGGGACCAUUUAAUUUCUGCCGUGUUUCCUCCUCUCCCCCCCACCUCCCCCAACACACACAUAAACCAUCCAUUGCUGAGUUGUUCUGUCUUGGUCUUGCGAAUGCAAGCGCCUGUUUGGGGAUGUGGAGCAGUCGUUUGCUCCUGCUGUGGUUGUUCGUUGCAGUGAACAUGAACUGCAGGUUUUUUUGGUUGGUUUGUUUAGCUUUCAUUCUGUGUUGGUGCCAUGCCAACCCGAGAAUGCAUAGUCGGGGAUGCAUCACUUGCUUAUGACUCUAGCAAGAAGAAUAGUGGAUCUCAAGCCCGGCUGCACAGUAGAAUCACGUGGGGAGCUUUUAGAAAACACCUGUGCCUGGGUCUUACCGUCAAAGGUUCUUAUUUAAUUGGCCUGGAAUGGGCUCAGGUGUUGGCCCAUUCCCAGGUGUUUCUAUGCACAGUAAGUAUUAAGAACCACUGCAGACCGCACCAUUUUCAGGCCAUUCUACAACACUCAGCUUGAGCUGGCGUCUCCUGAGCAGCUUGCUCUGACGCCCUCUCCCCACUAGGCUCAGAGCCUUUUCUCUAUGCUCCCAGAGGAUGAGCCUACAGUCUUAAGUAUGUCAUAGAGAUAUCUAGUCCUGGAGUCUUCUGAUCAGAGUUUAGAAGCAUGAGCUCGUUCAAGACUCUCGAGAGAUCAGAAGAGAACGCUGGCAUCCUGAGCUGCUUGCCUCGCAGAGCCUUUGAGACGUUCAUUCACUUCCCUGAAUGUUCUGAGCAAUCAAGCACUUCCUAGGUCCUGCCUGGGGACACGUAUUAAGGCAGUUGUCAUCUUUCUUAGCCAUGAUACAUACAACACAUCUCAGGAUUUCCCUGAAACCCCGGACUAGAAGCAUGCUCUGAUAGCUCAGGACAGAUUCUGGCGUUGAAAGAACAGAGUGUAUGCCAAACUACUUAGAAUACUAAGCUCUUCUCCAAAGGAACCCAGCUUUCAAUAGGAAGCUAGCAGGGUGCCUUGAUCAAGAAUCUGUGUUGAGCUUGCAGGAUUGUUCCAGGGAUUAUUUUCAAAGGGCCUUCUUACAAUGAGCCACUGGAAAGUAAGUUGCAUGUAUGCAGGGACUCUGUUUUGCUCAUCUCUGUGUCUCUGUGGCAUGCAUCAGAGCUUGGCCCAUAGAAGACACUCAGUACAUUAAAUAAAUAGAUGGAUGGAUGAGUAUGAAGUUCUCUUAGCUCCGUCUCAGACCACUGCUUUGAUAAGCAGAGCUCUGUGCUAGGGGAGAGGACCACAGACAUUCACAGAGACUAUCAUUUAUGGAUGGAUCUGGUUUUACCCCUGCUGAGCUUGAGAAACUUGUGGACAAACUUUGAAUGAACUGUUACCACCAUUCCUCAUCACCCUUAAAUUAAUGCCCAACCUGAAGAGAUGAUAUUU